This 301-nucleotide ribosomal RNA is filed under the name uncultured bacterium. RNAcentral describes it as "partial 16S ribosomal RNA". It matches the Rfam family "Bacterial small subunit ribosomal RNA", at positions 509 to 807 of the family's 1533-position model. The record is from RNAcentral.
CAGCCGCCGCGGUAAUACGGAGGGUGCAAGCGUUAAUCGGAAUUACUGGGCGUAAAGCGCACGCAGGCGGUUUGUUAAGUCAGAUGUGAAAUCCCCGAGCUUAACUUGGGAACUGCGUUUGAAACUGGCAAGCUAGAGUCUUGUAGAGGGGGGUAGAAUUCCAGGUGUAGCGGUGAAAUGCGUAGAGAUCUGGAGGAAUACCGGUGGCGAAGGCGGCCCCCUGGACAAAGACUGACGCUCAGGUGCGAAAGCGUGGGGAGCAAACAGGAUUAGAGACCCCAGUAGUCCCUGUCUCUUAUAC